CCUCCUUUUCUUGGCGACUGGGCAUGGGGUCCUGCUCCCCAUUAUGUACGGAGGCAGAAGGAAAGGGCUCGGCCCCCUUGGCAUCAUGUCUUUGGUGCCAGCGGCUUUCCAUCUACCGGUUCUAUCCUUAAGGGCUGGAACAGUG
Small nucleolar RNA from Cynocephalus volans (Philippine flying lemur), 145 nucleotides. RefSeq annotates it as small nucleolar RNA SNORA57. The transcript has a single exon. NCBI's taxonomy places the organism in Eukaryota, Metazoa, Chordata, Mammalia, Dermoptera, Cynocephalidae. The record is from RefSeq and is a predicted model, not a curated record.